This 445-nucleotide ribosomal RNA is filed under the name uncultured bacterium. RNAcentral's name for it is "partial 16S ribosomal RNA". It matches the Rfam family "Bacterial small subunit ribosomal RNA", at positions 354 to 796 of the family's 1533-position model. The record is from RNAcentral.
GUGAGGAAUAUUGGUCAAUGGGCGAGAGCCUGAACCAGCCAAGUCGCGUGAAGGAAGAAGGAUCUAUGGUUCGUAAACUUCUUUUGCAGGGGAAUAAAGUGCAGGACGUGUCCUGUUUUGUAUGUACUCUGAGAAUAAGGAUCGGCUAACUCCGUGCCAGCAGCCGCGGUAAUACGGAGGAUCCGAGCGUUAUCCGGAUUUAUUGGGUUUAAAGGGUGCGUAGGUGGUUGGAUACGUCAGCGGUGAAAGUUUGCAGCUUAACUGUAAAAAUGCCGUUGAAACUGUCGGACUUGAGUGUAAAUGAGGUAGGCGGAAUGCGUGGUGUAGCGGUGAAAUGCAUAGAGAUCACGCAGAACUCCGAUUGCGAAGGCAGCUUACUAAGCUACAACUGACACUGAAGCACGAAAGCGUGGGGAUCAAACAGGAUUAGAUACCCUUGUAGUCC